UGGUUAAAUAUUUUUGUAACUUCAGUCUUUUUGUUUUACGUUCUUUUUUGUUUUUUAGAAAAAAUAAAAGAAGCGCUCCUUACAACGGCCAGCCGGCUGAUCUCCCCGUCUCCGUCAGCAUUCCCACUAAAGCCGUCUUGUUGACCAUGAUUUGCUAGAUUUCAUAUAAAUCCACCUGAAACUUCCUCUCUUUUGCUCUCCCCGACCUUAUCCGUGAAGGAUCGUGUUUGUUUUUCAGGAAGUAGCUAAUCUAGGGUCUGGAAAAACCUAAUUCGGGCAAAAUCUUCGUCAAAUUCCGACUACAUUCGAGGUACGAUUUCGUGCGGUUCUGUAUAUGCAUCUGACAUUGUUGCCUCUUUUAGACCAAACGACACCGUUAAUCUGCCUGGAAACGCCGCAGAAGCAGUUGCGGUUUUCAUCCGCUUAAGAAACAGCUACCUUUACAAUAUCAUCGUUGACUUUAUCAGAUGAAGCAUCUUGCAGUAUCAAUUUUCGAAUCCGAGUUCUGUCGUUUCGGGCAUACAGUGUGGUGUAGUGGUUUAUGCCAACAAAGUCGAAGGAUCCCACCAGGAGUUUUGAGACUGCACUUGAAAUGUUUGGUUGUAACUAUGAUAAGCGGCAGCAUGAGACAAGAGGAUAUUGUGAGCGACAAUGUAUGGUUCCGUGGAUGAUUUUCCCAUUUUGCAAAAGAGAUGACCAAGAAGAGAACAUCUUCCAGGAGCUUGAAUGCCCAAGU
Juglans microcarpa x Juglans regia is the source of this 736-nucleotide long non-coding RNA. RefSeq lists it as uncharacterized. NCBI's taxonomy places the organism in Eukaryota, Viridiplantae, Streptophyta, Magnoliopsida, Fagales, Juglandaceae. The transcript is spliced from 3 exons. The record is from RefSeq and is a predicted model, not a curated record.